AGAGGGUGAUCGGCCACACUGGAACUGAGNCACGNUCCAGACUCCUACGGGGAGGCAGCAGUAGGGAAUCUUCCGCAAUGGGCGAAAGCCUGACGGAGCAACGCCGCGUGAGUGAUGAAGGUCUUCGGAUCGUAAAACUUCUGUUAUUAGGGAAGAACAUACGGANAAGAACUGUGCACCNCUUGACGNNNAANANAAGCCGCACNC
RNAcentral lists this ribosomal RNA (207 nucleotides) under Staphylococcus sp. SFI17. RNAcentral describes it as "partial 16S ribosomal RNA". It matches the Rfam family "Bacterial small subunit ribosomal RNA", at positions 295 to 503 of the family's 1533-position model. The record is from RNAcentral. Lineage: Bacteria; Bacillati; Bacillota; Bacilli; Caryophanales; Staphylococcaceae.